RNAcentral lists this long non-coding RNA (475 nucleotides) under Callithrix jacchus (white-tufted-ear marmoset). RNAcentral describes it as "lncRNA (ENSCJAG00000066567.2)". Lineage: Eukaryota; Metazoa; Chordata; Mammalia; Primates; Cebidae. The record is from RNAcentral.
UGAAAAGUCAUCACUGUGCAAGCCAAGAAAACACAUUCACCAUUGGAUUUGACCUGUAGAGAUGUCAGAUUGAUACCCCUUGUUAGAUAUUGCCAGACCCAUCCCUUGAACUGAAUUCAGGAGAAGUCAGGACACUAACCAGGUCUUGCUGUGUUGCCCAGGCUGGAGCGCAGUGUUGCAAUCUUGGCUCACUGCAACCUCUGCCUCCUGGCUUCAAAUGAUUCUCUUGCCUCAGCCUCCUGAGCAGCUGGGAUUACAGGAAGAGGCAUGCAGCUUCCAUGUUGAAUACCUGGAAUCCAUUUAGACUGGCAAGUAUCCACUACCUGAAAAGCCUUGGGUGCUGAGGAAGCAGCGUUGGAAAGAAUAGAGUGCAUCCAGUCAUGCCAACUGCAGUCUAAGAAUGGUCAGUGAUGUGGCUCCCUGAAGGGGCAAACAAAGCAAAAUAAAUACACACCAGCUGGGCACAGUGGCCCAU